GGGCCGCACCCACUCAGCGCGGCUCCCAAAGUUGCAGACGGCUCGGCCGGCCGCGCGGUGCGCUGCGUCUGCGCCGCGCAGAGAGAAGUAAAGAAAACUCCGGGGGCUCUGCUGGCUUCUUCGCGAGUGACCGCGAUGCUUCCCCAGAUGGAAGACCGGAGCCCUGCUCCUCUGCGAUCCGCCGAGGGCUGCAGGGAGCAUCCUCAUCCAUUUGGGCACCCCCGUCCAGGACGAGCCCGGCCAUCCCUGUCCAGCCUGGAUCCUUGAGAGGUGGAUUUUCUUCUGUGAUUCCGUUUGCUCGGUCUGACCAGCCUGGGCAAAACAGCAUCGCGUGGAACCAGUGCCGCUGGGCACGCUAGCUUCACGCCGGCUCCGCCUCGCCAGCAAGCGCGUUCCCAGGUGGUCAGGCUCAGGAUGGACCAUGAGGUUUCAAAAAGGAGAAAGGUGGAAAUUCUCAGCUAUGCUGCCAUCUGAAUAAAUGUUUCUUUGCAGCAUGCAGAGUCAAGGAAAAUUACAUCUCUGCGUUAUGUAAUGUACCAAUGCACUUACCCACUGUUUUAAUCUAGGUUAUUCUUGAAAGCAGAGCUUGAGACAAAGGUAGACAGUAGACACAUUCUAUUUAUGAGUCUAAUACCAAGCAGCAGGAAUGAGAGACAGGGGAGUGAACGUGGGGAAAGGGAAAGUAAGUCCAAGCAAAACCAGAUACUGGUGUUAUCAAGUGGUCUGCUCCUAUUAAUGGCUACAUAAUGCAGGACUUUCUCAGGAUUCUUCUUAAACUUUAUCUCAGAACUGUCUUCCUCAGGGAGAAUGGAGAAGUAUUUCUCCAUCAGCAGCCACAUCCUGUGUGUUGAGGGCUGCUCCUUUGGGGCAUUAACCCACUACCCCUGGCCCCAUCCCUCUGGGCUGCAAGGAGCUGAGAGCCCAGCUGGUACCACAGCAUCACACAUUACUGCAUUAGAGAGGUCUUAAGACAGGAAGCUAGAGUCUUGGUGCAUGCUUGAAGUGAGACAGUGUUAGCACAGAGCAGGGGAAAACCUUCCAUAACUGUUCACCAGUGCUAUGACUGGAAUCAGAGGUUGAAAAGAUGUGAGACUAUACACAAGAAGCAUCUUAUAAGCCUACAUAAUAUACUGUUAGACUCAUCUAAAUCUGUUUCCUUCCUUCUUUAUAAUCAAAACUUUAGUGACCAGAAUAAGGUUGGCAGAGGGUUAAAUAGGAAAGUUAAAUGUAUUAGAAAGUAUACAUUGCUAAGUUUUAACCUUGAGUCAUGUUCAAGGAAAAAGUGACACUGGAACUUGGAAAAUUAAAAAAAUGAUUCUACUUGAAAAAUUUGACCAUUGCAUAGAAAUAUUAGCUAUUGUCUAAUUUUUUGUAAUCUCAGAAACAAUCAUGAAUUGUUUGGUGAAAAAUGAAAAAAAUAAAUUUAAUCAUUUCUUGUGUCUCCGUGAGCUUUAUAGACCAAUGUCACUAACUUUUCCUAAAAUAAUUAUUUCCUACUGCCAAAUAGCUCUAGUGAUACAAAGCUUACAACCAAUGAAGGGAAAACCAAUAGAAACGUAGGAAGAAAAAUACUGGGAUAAUUUUCAUCACAUAAAGUGUUGUCAUUAAUAUUGGUUGGAAUGGGGGGGAACUGCAUGACUUAGCAUGACAUUCCUGUAUGUUGAAUGAAACUCUGUCUUAACAGAAAUAGCAAUGUCAUCAUCGUCCUCUCUUACUUGAUCUUGAAUUGCCACCAUUCAGAUAAAACCUUUGAAUUAUUUAACUCAA
This is a long non-coding RNA of Cebus imitator (Panamanian white-faced capuchin), 1767 nucleotides long. RefSeq lists it as uncharacterized. The transcript is spliced from 2 exons. NCBI's taxonomy places the organism in Eukaryota, Metazoa, Chordata, Mammalia, Primates, Cebidae. The record is from RefSeq and is a predicted model, not a curated record.